ACUUCAACCAGGACGUUUAUCUCAGUUGAUUCACCCAUGCUGGUGUUAAAUCUUCUGCUUCAUGCACACUGUUGAUAAAUUAAAGCAAAGACAGAAAAACAAAAGCAAAGUUAGGAGAGUCAAUGAUGGUGACAACUCAAGGGAACUGAGAGAUGGCUCUAGUGAUUUAAAUAGCUUGCAAAGCUCGGGCACGAGGCAGCAAUCGCAACAACAACUAAUUUACAGUAGAUGCAGUUAUCCAGAGCGACUAACAGGAGUAAAUCGGGCAGAUUAUAAACUUCCCAAAAUAUUCAGGACAUCAGCAGGGCUGAGUGUAAAAGCAGGAUGACCAGUCCUAUUGUCGAGCCAUACUGGGCAACAGGAGGUAUGUCAACAAUGUUUAUCAACAUAAUGGAAUAUUGUAUAUGUGCAUGUGCUUAUUGGCAAUGAAUUGCGUGGUGGGAAGACAAUAUCAACAAUUGACACAGACAUUUGAUAUGGUGAAUAAUAUUAGACCGACACAAAGGCUGUCAGUUUAUUUCCAGGCCAAGUUUCUGUGCUGUGUUUUGUUUUUUCAAGGUGUGUCUGGUCUGCCCGGCAUCAUCUUUCCCCGGGAGUAAAGUGGGCCAACAGAAAAGUACUCAGAACAGCCUGAAAGUGAAGCCUGGGGAUGGAGUGACUCUUCACUCCCUGAAAGGGCCUGUGUUACAGGCAGAAGAUGUGCAUCUCUCCACCAGAUGGAAAGAUCCCACUCUCUGGAAACUUACUCUCCCUGAUGUAUUUUGGCGGAGCGUGUAGUCUGCGGGUGACGGGGGUCGACGGCCACUCCCUGGAGAGACCACUGCCUACCCCGGGACUGGAGCCUGAUACAGAGGAGGCCUUUGACGAGCUCAGCCCUGGGCUCCACCUCCGUCCUGGGCUCCACCUCCGUCCUGGGCUCCACCUCCGCCCUGGGCUCCACCUCCGCCCUGGGCUCCACCUCCGCCCUGCGCUCCACCUCCAUGGACCUGAGGUGCAGGCCAGGGAUCCGGCGCAGCCUGGUCCUGCAUCCAGUACCCCAUGCAGGCCCGCCUGUAUGCCCUGUGUCCCUGCAACCCCCAGACUUCCACUGAUUCUGAGCAGGGCAUUCUCAGUCUAGAGGUGGAGAAUAAGGUGAAGUUCAGAGACAGGCACAAAGAGGCUCAAGAGGAGGAGUACGGCAGCCCUGAGCCCUGAGGUCUAAAGUCAUAUAUACAGUAUGAUCCCGAGAGAGACUUCUCCAACUACGGAAUCACACCUCCUAGGGGGGUUCUCCUUUAUGGCCCCCCGGGAACAGGAAAGACUAUGAUUGGAUGAGCCAUAGCCAAUAAGGUCGGGGCACAUAUGACCGUAAUCAACCGUCCAUAAAUCAUUAGCAAAUUUUAUGGUGAAACAGAGGUCAGAUUGAGGCAGAUAUUCACAGGAGCCUCUCAAAGCGAAUCAGUCUAAUGAGAAAAAGAGACCGCAGGCCCACGAUCAGAGAUGGCUCGACAGCCGCCCUCCACCCCUUUAGAGAACACAGGGAGCCUGGGAAACCCAUCACCGAUGGUCGCCAUGACGUGCCAAAUUGGCAUCAUGUUAUGGCCAAGUAUAUCUUCAUCUCCCCAGUCCAGCUCCUUGGUGCAGAUGGUGCACUGAAGCAGCUGCUCUCCCUCCUGCUAUCUGUUUUCCAUACCGAUGCUAAGUCUUGUUGUAUAAUCCAAGGUCACCAACCACCAAGGGCCUGCUGCUGUGGAAUGUGGCGAAAGCACUUCCUGCUCCCAGAAUUCUUGUCUCUCCACUCUCACUGUAGUUUAUUUGUGUUUUGGUCCAUCUGCUGGGCCUGUGGUAUAGGGGGAGGUGGAAAUAGCUUUAUUUCUCAGCCGGACCACCCAUUUUAGAACAUAGUACACGGAGCUCUGUUAGAAUAUUAAAAUUGUAUUGCCAGAUAAUGCCUGAUAGUUUCAGAAGAUGUAAACCAGUAAUUUAUUAAGCCUUCAGACACAUUUAUUGUGUGGAAAUGUCCUUUAUGUUUGAGCUUUUGGUGUCGGGGUCAUUGGUUAGGACUAAGAUUAUUGAUUAAUAAUUUAUUACACCUACAUGCUCAAAUUCAAGUACAGUCAUACUACCUUAAAAGCAUACUUGCUUCAUCCUACUGUUCCAAUUGCUCUCUUACAUUAACACCCCUCAUUUAGUGAUUUAACGCUUGUUUUACCAGGGAAGUUGACUGAAAGUUGAGCGCACAUUCUCAUAACACUGUAACAUUCCUAACUGUCCUGGUUUGUCUCUUCCUCCAGGAGGGCCACUCAGGCCAGCUGCUGAUCCUAGGGGCCACCAACCGGUCCCACGCCCUGGACCCAGCUCUCUAAAUCAAAAUGUAUUUGUCACAUGCGCCGAAUACAACAGGUGUAGACCUUAACGUGAAAUGCUUACUUAC
Molecule: long non-coding RNA, 2413 nt
Organism: Oncorhynchus kisutch (coho salmon)
Lineage: Eukaryota; Metazoa; Chordata; Actinopteri; Salmoniformes; Salmonidae
Exons: 7
Source: RefSeq, a predicted model, not a curated record